GUGCUCGCUUUGGCAGCACAUGUACUAAAACUGGAACGAUACAGAGAGGAUUAGCAUGGCUCCUGAGCAAGGAUGACAUGCAAAAUUCAUGACACGUUCCAUAUUUUU
Small nuclear RNA from Tupaia belangeri (northern tree shrew), 108 nucleotides. The record is from Ensembl. Lineage: Eukaryota; Metazoa; Chordata; Mammalia; Scandentia; Tupaiidae.